UUAGUCUCUCUUUUUCUUCUCUCUCUUUCAUAGUAUUAGAAAAGGAAAAAAUGGCUAGCAUUAUUGAAAACAUGAAGAGAGGCUUUGGUUAUCUUGUUGACACUGUAUCUGGUGGAAGCAAAAGCGAGAAUAAUGGUGAAAAGCCACAGCUCAAAGUUGAGGUUAAAUUAGCUCAGACGACUGCCCGAGUGGAAACCGAUGAUAAACCCCCUCCUCCUGACGUAGAAUCAACUUAGAAAAUUAAAUAAAUAAAUACUUUAUCCUAUAAUAAUGUUUUGGUUUUACUUUAAUAUAUUUAUAUUUAUGUUGCCUUAUUUUUAUUUCAUUUAUUUUAGGUGUGUUUAAUAUGUAAUAAUUGCCGGAUUAGGCAUUUGUUAUAAGUGUGUAAUGAAAUGUUUGAGCUUUAAAA
Molecule: long non-coding RNA, 409 nt
Organism: Salvia hispanica
Lineage: Eukaryota; Viridiplantae; Streptophyta; Magnoliopsida; Lamiales; Lamiaceae
Source: RefSeq, a predicted model, not a curated record